UAGGAGCCCGUGGGAGGCCUUCACCGGCCUGGGGAGGGGUGCCGAGGGCGGCAGGCUUCCCGGGAGAUGACUUGACCGCACCCCGAAGGAUGAAGAAACUGAGACUCAGAGAGGGAGGUGACUUGUGGAAAGCCACGCAGCUGGGAAGAGCAGUCUGGUUCCAGGGCGUCUGGGUCUCUAAGGUCACUUGAGUACCCCAGCCCCGUACCAGGGAUAGAGAGACCCCAAACCUCGGCUCUGCUCUGAGCACAGAGAGGUGCAAUGCCAGGAGCAAUAGCAGCCAUCUUGCAAACAAGAGGAAAAAGCCAAGAGAAUUGCAGAGACACCAGCCCUGACAUCAUUUGCCUGGAAAAACAAUGCCAGCCAUAGCUGAUCUCCAAGCUCACCGUGAUAGGGGAAAAUAAACUCUUUGUCAAGC
Equus quagga is the source of this 418-nucleotide long non-coding RNA. RefSeq lists it as uncharacterized. The transcript is spliced from 3 exons. Lineage: Eukaryota; Metazoa; Chordata; Mammalia; Perissodactyla; Equidae. The record is from RefSeq and is a predicted model, not a curated record.